GAAAUAUUUUUAUAUUAAGCUUCUAACUUAAUUCUAAGCAAUAAUUGUUUGUAUUUCU
This 58-nucleotide transfer RNA is filed under the name Anaspis sp. BMNH 840206. Its description in RNAcentral is "tRNA-Ser". The record is from RNAcentral. Lineage: Eukaryota; Metazoa; Arthropoda; Insecta; Coleoptera; Scraptiidae.